AGGACAACGCUGGCGGCGUGCUUAACACAUGCAAGUCGAACGGACGAGUGAGAUAAGUUUACUUAACUCACAAGUUAGUGGCGGACGGGUGAGUAACACGUGGAUAAUCUACCUGCAACACCGGGAUAACGCUGUGAAAACGGUGCUAAUACCGGAUACGUUCCCUUGUGCGCAUGUAUGAGGGAAGAAAGCUCAGGCGGUUGCAGAUGAGUCCGCGGCUGAUUAGCUAGUUGGUGAGGUAAAGGCUCACCAAGGCGAUGAUCAGUAGCCGGCCUGAGAGGGUGAACGGCCACACUGGGACUGAGACACGGCCCAGACUCCUACGGGAGGCAGCAGUGGGGAAUCUUCCGCAAUGGGCGCAAGCCUGACGGAGCAACGCCGCGUGGGUGAAGAAGGCCUUCGGGUUGUAAAGCCCUGUCUUAUGGGAAGAAGUCAGUGACGGUACCAUAGGAGGAAGCCACGGCUAACUACGUG
Molecule: ribosomal RNA, 474 nt
Filed under: uncultured bacterium
Lineage: Bacteria
Description: bacterial SSU rRNA
Rfam family: Bacterial small subunit ribosomal RNA
Source: RNAcentral